RNAcentral lists this long non-coding RNA (1666 nucleotides) under Olea europaea subsp. europaea. The record is from RNAcentral. Lineage: Eukaryota; Viridiplantae; Streptophyta; Magnoliopsida; Lamiales; Oleaceae.
GUUCGUGCCAAUUGCACAUCUUCGAAAGGUCUGUGCAAGUCAUGUCGCACACUUCAUCGAGAUGUUCUCUUCUGUUUACUCUGUUCUUGGAUUUUUUUUCUAUUACGACAUUUGUGUUGAAAGGUUAAUGAAAUUGGACCAAAUAUAUAAAAUCCAUGUGGUAGGCUUUCUUACACCUGGAAAGUUUUAUAUAUUUGACUUGUCCUUAUCACAACUAUGCACAUGAUCUACCAUGCUGGUUAUUGUUAUGUAUAUCUGUGAAUUGCAAGAGGAUAUGCAUGUAUUAUAGCGAAGCAAUGCGAGCAUGAAUAACAAAAGAGUCAAAUGGUCUGCUACACUAUAAUUUAAUUAUGAGCAUGUUGCAAGCUGAAAAGGCCUGUUUCCAUUUUAAUAUAAUGAAUAAGGUAAGCUUUAUAAUUCCGACCUAGUAAAGGUUCAAGGCAAAUCAGCUAAUGGAAGGGCUUUGUCAUUUUUUGUAGCAUCUAGACUUCGCACGAGAUUGCAUGUUGACAUGUUUAUAGCUGCGUUCCAAGUCUCUUGGUUGGAGCCAACUAAUUUUUAUGUGAUUUCAGUUUUAAAUUUGUUUUGCAAGUCACGUUUAGAAUUAAAGGGCACUUACACAGACUAUUUUCCAGUUCGUUCAUGCAUUAUUGGAUAGGACAAGAUAUAGUUCACUAAUUUGAGAUCAUGUUGGUGCGGAGGUCUUAUUUUCUGGCUAUGCUUUGUGCUUUAUAACUAUCGUCAUCAUCUUCUUUACUGAUUGUGCAAGUUCUUGAAUGCAGAAAUGAGCAACUUCUUGAACUUCAUCCAUCUUGUAUCAAGAUAGCGCCUAGGUAUAUGUUCUGUUGGCAGUUCUGUUUCAUUGGAUUGAAAUUUCCGUUUCAUUUACAACUUCUCACAUCAUCUCAUUAUCAUCUUUUUGGUUCUUGUUCUUGCAAUUGUGAUUGUCACUGUUUUAGCUGUGGCAUGGAAUCUGAAAGGUAAGCACACAACGAUUGUGAAUGAACAAGAUGACAGAUUGAUUACAUUGCCAAAGACAAAUUGAGUGCACUUCCCUUGUCUGCAUGAGAUUUGAGGCAUAUCUCCUCAGGCAAAAAUUUACUUACCACAGAAUCGACAAAAGAAAGAAUUAUGAUGCAAAAUUUCCCCACGAAGUCCCUUAAAGUAUUACUAGUUCUUCUUUUCAGGAGAUAUAAGGAACAAAAUCCCAUAAAUCUCCUGAUUGCUAAUUAUUUAUAUUUUCUUAAAAUGCGGAUGAAGAACCUUGAGAUUUGGUAACUUAAUCCAUUUCGUAUGCUAUAAUUAAUUUUUCAAAGCCAAGGGUUGUGCACUCGAAUAUUUUACUUGGAACUUGGAAGACACCCAUAACUAUCAUAUUUUUUUCCAUCCCAUACCACAAAGCUACGGCUAAUUGCUUCCAUAUCCAAGAACUGACUCAUAAACCGUCAUUCUUGUAGGUCGUAAGGUGAAAUUUAUUUAUUUGGAGGCUGCAAUUGUACUGGGAGGGUUUUCUCAAUAUUUGGCAAGGGUGGACGCAGAAAUUUUUAGUUAGGGGACCCAAUCAAAUUUUGUACAAAUCGAAGACUUUGUUAUUGAUUUUUGACUGAUUUAUACUCGAUCCGAGAAAAUGCAUAUUAAUAUUUAUAAAACAUUUUUUCAUUAAUAU